Molecule: ribosomal RNA, 1023 nt
Filed under: Staphylococcus aureus
Lineage: Bacteria; Bacillati; Bacillota; Bacilli; Caryophanales; Staphylococcaceae
Description: bacterial SSU rRNA
Rfam family: Bacterial small subunit ribosomal RNA
Source: RNAcentral
AGAGUUUGAUCCUGGCUCAGGAUGAACGCUGGCGGCGUGCCUAAUACAUGCAAGUCGAGCGAACGGACGAGAAGCUUGCUUCUCUGAUGUUAGCGGCGGACGGGUGAGUAACACGUGGAUAACCUACCUAUAAGACUGGGAUAACUUCGGGAAACCGGAGCUAAUACCGGAUAAUAUUUUGAACCGCAUGGUUCAAAAGUGAAAGACGGUCUUACUGUCACUUAUAGAUGGAUCCGCGCUGCAUUAGCUAGUUGGUAAGGUAACGGCUUACCAAGGCAACGAUGCAUAGCCGACCUGAGAGGGUGAUCGGCCACACUGGAACUGAGACACGGUCCAGACUCCUACGGGAGGCAGCAGUAGGGAAUCUUCCGCAAUGGGCGAAAGCCUGACGGAGCAACGCCGCGUGAGUGAUGAAGGUCUUCGGAUCGUAAAACUCUGUUAUUAGGGAAGAACAUAUGUGUAAGUAACUGUGCACAUCUUGACGGUACCUAAUCAGAAAGCCACGGCUAACUACGUGCCAGCAGCCGCGGUAAUACGUAGGUGGCAAGCGUUAUCCGGAAUUAUUGGGCGUAAAGCGCGCGUAGGCGGUUUUUUAAGUCUGAUGUGAAAGCCCACGGCUCAACCGUGGAGGGUCAUUGGAAACUGGAAAACUUGAGUGCAGAAGAGGAAAGUGGAAUUCCAUGUGUAGCGGUGAAAUGCGCAGAGAUAUGGAGGAACACCAGUGGCGAAGGCGACUUUCUGGUCUGUAACUGACGCUGAUGUGCGAAAGCGUGGGGAUCAAACAGGAUUAGAUACCCUGGUAGUCCACGCCGUAAACGAUGAGUGCUAAGUGUUAGGGGGUUUCCGCCCCUUAGUGCUGCAGCUAACGCAUUAAGCACUCCGCCUGGGGAGUACGACCGCAAGGUUGAAACUCAAAGGAAUUGACGGGGACCCGCACAAGCGGUGGAGCAUGUGGUUUAAUUCGAAGCAACGCGAAGAACCUUACCAAAUCUUGACAUCCUUUGACAACUCUAGAGAUAGAGC